RNAcentral lists this ribosomal RNA (2925 nucleotides) under Escherichia coli. RNAcentral describes it as "23S ribosomal RNA". It matches the Rfam family "Bacterial large subunit ribosomal RNA". Lineage: Bacteria; Pseudomonadati; Pseudomonadota; Gammaproteobacteria; Enterobacterales; Enterobacteriaceae. The record is from RNAcentral.
GGGUUGUGAGGUUAAGCGACUAAGCGUACACGGUGGAUGCCCUGGCAGUCAGAGGCGAUGAAGGACGUGCUAAUCUGCGAUAAGCGUCGGUAAGGUGAUAUGAACCGUUAUAACCGGCGAUUUCCGAAUGGGGAAACCCAGUGUGAUUCGUCACACUAUCAUUAACUGAAUCCAUAGGUUAAUGAGGCGAACCGGGGGAACUGAAACAUCUAAGUACCCCGAGGAAAAGAAAUCAACCGAGAUUCCCCCAGUAGCGGCGAGCGAACGGGGAGCAGCCCAGAGUCUGAAUCAGUGUGUGUGUUAGUGGAAGCGUCUGGAAAGGCGCGCGAUACAGGGUGACAGCCCCGUACACAAAAAUGCACAUAUUGUGAGCUCGAUGAGUAGGGCGGGACACGUGGUAUCCUGUCUGAAUAUGGGGGGACCAUCCUCCAAGGCUAAAUACUCCUGACUGACCGAUAGUGAACCAGUACCGUGAGGGAAAGGCGAAAAGAACCCCGGCGAGGGGAGUGAAAAAGAACCUGAAACCGUGUACGUACAAGCAGUGGGAGCCUCUUUUAUGGGGUGACUGCGUACCUUUUGUAUAAUGGGUCAGCGACUUAUAUUCUGUAGCAAGGUUAACCGAAUAGGGGAGCCGAAGGGAAACCGAGUCUUAACUGGGCGUUAAGUUGCAGGGUAUAGACCCGAAACCCGGUGAUCUAGCCAUGGGCAGGUUGAAGGUUGGGUAACACUAACUGGAGGACCGAACCGACUAAUGUUGAAAAAUUAGCGGAUGACUUGUGGCUGGGGGUGAAAGGCCAAUCAAACCGGGAGAUAGCUGGUUCUCCCCGAAAGCUAUUUAGGUAGCGCCUCGUGAAUUCAUCUCCGGGGGUAGAGCACUGUUUCGGCAAGGGGGUCAUCCCGACUUACCAACCCGAUGCAAACUGCGAAUACCGGAGAAUGUUAUCACGGGAGACACACGGCGGGUGCUAACGUCCGUCGUGAAGAGGGAAACAACCCAGACCGCCAGCUAAGGUCCCAAAGUCAUGGUUAAGUGGGAAACGAUGUGGGAAGGCCCAGACAGCCAGGAUGUUGGCUUAGAAGCAGCCAUCAUUUAAAGAAAGCGUAAUAGCUCACUGGUCGAGUCGGCCUGCGCGGAAGAUGUAACGGGGCUAAACCAUGCACCGAAGCUGCGGCAGCGACGCUUAUGCGUUGUUGGGUAGGGGAGCGUUCUGUAAGCCUGUGAAGGUGUGCUGUGAGGCAUGCUGGAGGUAUCAGAAGUGCGAAUGCUGACAUAAGUAACGAUAAAGCGGGUGAAAAGCCCGCUCGCCGGAAGACCAAGGGUUCCUGUCCAACGUUAAUCGGGGCAGGGUGAGUCGACCCCUAAGGCGAGGCCGAAAGGCGUAGUCGAUGGGAAACAGGUUAAUAUUCCUGUACUUGGUGUUACUGCGAAGGGGGGACGGAGAAGGCUAUGUUGGCCGGGCGACGGUUGUCCCGGUUUAAGCGUGUAGGCUGGUUUUCCAGGCAAAUCCGGAAAAUCAAGGCUGAGGCGUGAUGACGAGGCACUACGGUGCUGAAGCAACAAAUGCCCUGCUUCCAGGAAAAGCCUCUAAGCAUCAGGUAACAUCAAAUCGUACCCCAAACCGACACAGGUGGUCAGGUAGAGAAUACCAAGGCGCUUGAGAGAACUCGGGUGAAGGAACUAGGCAAAAUGGUGCCGUAACUUCGGGAGAAGGCACGCUGAUAUGUAGGUGAAGUCCCUUGCGGAUGGAGCUGAAAUCAGUCGAAGAUACCAGCUGGCUGCAACUGUUUAUUAAAAACACAGCACUGUGCAAACACGAAAGUGGACGUAUACGGUGUGACGCCUGCCCGGUGCCGGAAGGUUAAUUGAUGGGGUCAGCGCAAGCGAAGCUCUUGAUCGAAGCCCCGGUAAACGGCGGCCGUAACUAUAACGGUCCUAAGGUAGCGAAAUUCCUUGUCGGGUAAGUUCCGACCUGCACGAAUGGCGUAAUGAUGGCCAGGCUGUCUCCACCCGAGACUCAGUGAAAUUGAACUCGCUGUGAAGAUGCAGUGUACCCGCGGCAAGACGGAAAGACCCCGUGAACCUUUACUAUAGCUUGACACUGAACAUUGAGCCUUGAUGUGUAGGAUAGGUGGGAGGCUUAGAAGUGUGGACGCCAGUCUGCAUGGAGCCGACCUUGAAAUACCACCCUUUAAUGUUUGAUGUUCUAACGUUGACCCGUAAUCCGGGUUGCGGACAGUGUCUGGUGGGUAGUUUGACUGGGGCGGUCUCCUCCUAAAGAGUAACGGAGGAGCACGAAGGUUGGCUAAUCCUGGUCGGACAUCAGGAGGUUAGUGCAAUGGCAUAAGCCAGCUUGACUGCGAGCGUGACGGCGCGAGCAGGUGCGAAAGCAGGUCAUAGUGAUCCGGUGGUUCUGAAUGGAAGGGCCAUCGCUCAACGGAUAAAAGGUACUCCGGGGAUAACAGGCUGAUACCGCCCAAGAGUUCAUAUCGACGGCGGUGUUUGGCACCUCGAUGUCGGCUCAUCACAUCCUGGGGCUGAAGUAGGUCCCAAGGGUAUGGCUGUUCGCCAUUUAAAGUGGUACGCGAGCUGGGUUUAGAACGUCGUGAGACAGUUCGGUCCCUAUCUGCCGUGGGCGCUGGAGAACUGAGGGGGGCUGCUCCUAGUACGAGAGGACCGGAGUGGACGCAUCACUGGUGUUCGGGUUGUCAUGCCAAUGGCACUGCCCGGUAGCUAAAUGCGGAAGAGAUAAGUGCUGAAAGCAUCUAAGCACGAAACUUGCCCCGAGAUGAGUUCUCCCUGACUCCUUGAGAGUCCUGAAGGAACGUUGAAGACGACGACGUUGAUAGGCCGGGUGUGUAAGCGCAGCGAUGCGUUGAGCUAACCGGUACUAAUGAACCGUGAGGCUUAACCUUACAACGCCGAAG